Molecule: ribosomal RNA, 403 nt
Filed under: uncultured bacterium
Lineage: Bacteria
Description: bacterial SSU rRNA
Rfam family: Bacterial small subunit ribosomal RNA
Source: RNAcentral
AUUGAACGCUGGCGGCGUGCCUAACACAUGCAAGUCGAGCGGUAACAGGUGUAGCAAUACAUGCUGACGAGCGGCGAACGGGUGAGUAAUGCUUUGGAAUCUUCCCAGUAGUGGGGAAUAACCAGUCGAAAGAUUGGCUAAUACCGCAUACGUCUGUAAAGGGAAAGCGGGGGCUCGUAAGACCUCGCGCUAUUGGAUGAGCCAAAGUCGGAUUAGCUAGUUGGUGGGGUAANGGCCUACCAAGGCGACAAUCCGUAGCUGGUCUGAGAGGACGACCAGCCACACCGGAACUGAGACACGGUCCGGACUCCUACGGGAGGCAGCAGUGGGGAAUAUUGGACAAGUGGGGAAACCCUGAUCCAGCGACGCCGCGUGUGUGAAGAAGGCCUGCGGGUUGUAAAGC